This 374-nucleotide ribosomal RNA is filed under the name uncultured bacterium. RNAcentral describes it as "partial 16S ribosomal RNA". It matches the Rfam family "Bacterial small subunit ribosomal RNA", at positions 338 to 709 of the family's 1533-position model. The record is from RNAcentral.
CCUACGGGUGGCAGCAGUGAGGAAUAUUGGUCAAUGGGCGCGAGCCUGAACCAGCCAAGUAGCGUGAAGGAUGACUGCCCUACGGGUUGUAAACUUCUUUUAUAAAGGAGUAAAGUGAGGCACGUGUACCUUUUUGUAUGUACUUUACGAAUAAGGAUCGGCUAACUCCGUGCCAGCAGCCGCGGUAAUACGGAGGAUCCGAGCGUUAUCCUGAUUUAUUGGGUUUAAAGGGAGCGUAGAUGGGUUGUUAAGUCAGUUGGGAAAGUUUGCGGCUCAACCGUAAAAUUGCAAUGGAUACUGGCAGUCUUGAGUAAAGUUGAGGUAGGCGGAAUUCGUGGUGUAGCGGUGAAAUGCUUAGAUAUCACGAAGAACUC